RNAcentral lists this long non-coding RNA (1005 nucleotides) under Pavo cristatus (Indian peafowl). Its description in RNAcentral is "lncRNA (ENSPSTG00000006049.1)". Lineage: Eukaryota; Metazoa; Chordata; Aves; Galliformes; Phasianidae. The record is from RNAcentral.
CUUUCCUCGCGGUGACUCCGCUCGGGGGACGGAGCCUCGACCUGAGGCAGUUAGCAGCCCCACCGCGGGGGAAGGCCCUCCUGGGUUCCCAGCCCCUCGCUGCCCUGCUGACAGCUACCCGCAGUGAAGUGACAAGGGGGCAUCGAGCAGGGCUGCAGCCACAGGGCUCCGAGUACUUCUGUUCGCGUUCGGUGCGGGCCGAAGCCGGAGCCGCGCGGGGCAGCGCCGCGAUAACCGCACCAACGCGGUGCACUUCCACCCGCCCCUCUUCUGCCUCGGCCUGCACCAGCUCCUGCCCUGGUCCGGCAGCAGCACAGCACCACCCCGGCGACCCAGGCCUGGGCUGCCCCUGGACUUAAUUCCAAAACAGUGACAGGAGCAUCAAACACGUCUUCAUUUAUUCAUCUGGUGAAAACAAGGCUUGGCCAUCACCUGCAGGGAAAGCUACUCUGUACCAAUCUCUCAUUAAUACAUCGGGCAGACCAGAGCCAGAACACAACACGCACGGAGGCUUCUCUGCCAGCACAGAUUCAGCACCCCCCAGGAGAACUGGGCACAACCCAGUGCUGCCAGGAGCUGGAGAGAAGUCUGAAACAAUCACUCUGGUGUCUUCUCUUCAUAAUUGCAGGAGGGGUCAGUGCACCUUCUGCUGAAGGAGAGCAUUCCCUCGUGCUCCCUUCUGCGCCCCACCGACCUGUGCACGAUGCCACACAGGUCUUCUGCUGGAGAGGGGAAAACAAAGCUACCACAGGGCUAAAUCCAGUGACAUUUCCUUUGUUAGCAACUCAGCUGAUGGACUUCUUGUCUCUCCCCGCUCUUUUUGCAAGUUUUGGUCAUGACUUUGGUAACUCAAAAAAACCAACCCAACAAANGAGAGAUGGUGGAGUCUCCUUCUCUGGAGAUAUUCAGGAACCAUCUAGAUGCCCUGUGUGCCCUGCCAUAGGGAACUGCUUUGGCAGGCGUUGGACUCAAUGAGGUUUUCUCCAACCCCUACAGUUCUGUGGU